Molecule: ribosomal RNA, 1676 nt
Filed under: Yersinia aldovae
Lineage: Bacteria; Pseudomonadati; Pseudomonadota; Gammaproteobacteria; Enterobacterales; Yersiniaceae
Description: bacterial LSU rRNA
Rfam family: Bacterial large subunit ribosomal RNA
Source: RNAcentral
CUGGAGGUAUCAGAAGUGCGAAUGCUGACAUAAGUAACGAUAAUGCGGGUGAAAAACCCGCACGCCGGAAGACCAAGGGUUCCUGUCCAACGUUAAUCGGGGCAGGGUGAGUCGACCCCUAAGGCGAGGCCGAAAGGCGUAGUCGAUGGGAAACAGGUUAAUAUUCCUGUACUUGGUGUUACUGCGAAGGGGGGACGGAGAAGGCUAGGCUAGCCGGGCGACGGUUGUCCCGGUUUAAGCAUGUAGGCGGAGCGACUUGGUAAAUCCGGUUGCUUAUCAACGCUGAGGUGUGAUGACGAGUCACUACGGUGAUGAAGUAGUUGAUGCCAAGCUUCCAGGAAAAGCCUCUAAGCAUCAGGUAACAUUAAAUCGUACCCCAAACCGACACAGGUGGUCAGGUAGAGAAUACUCAGGCGCUUGAGAGAACUCGGGUGAAGGAACUAGGCAAAAUGGUGCCGUAACUUCGGGAGAAGGCACGCUGGCGUUAGGUAAUGGGACUUGCUCCCGGCGCCGAAGCCAGUCGCAGAUACCAGCUGGCUGCAACUGUUUAAUAAAAACACAGCACUGUGCAAACACGAAAGUGGACGUAUACGGUGUGACGCCUGCCCGGUGCUGGAAGGUUAAUUGAUGGGGUCAGCCGCAAGGCGAAGCUCUUGAUCGAAGCCCCAGUAAACGGCGGCCGUAACUAUAACGGUCCUAAGGUAGCGAAAUUCCUUGUCGGGUAAGUUCCGACCUGCACGAAUGGCGUAAUGAUGGCCAGGCUGUCUCCACCCGAGACUCAGUGAAAUUGAACUCGCUGUGAAGAUGCAGUGUACCCGCGGCAAGACGGAAAGACCCCGUGAACCUUUACUAUAGCUUGACACUGAACAUUGAGCCUUGAUGUGUAGGAUAGGUGGGAGGCAUCGAAGUGUGGACGCCAGUCUGCAUGGAGCCAACCUUGAAAUACCACCCUUUAAUGUUUGAUGUUCUAACUCGGCCCCGUAAUCCGGGGUGAGGACAGUGUCUGGUGGGUAGUUUGACUGGGGCGGUCUCCUCCCAAAGAGUAACGGAGGAGCACGAAGGUUAGCUAAUCACGGUCGGACAUCGUGAGGUUAGUGCAAAGGCAUAAGCUAGCUUGACUGCGAGAGUGACGGCUCGAGCAGGUACGAAAGUAGGUCUUAGUGAUCCGGUGGUUCUGAAUGGAAGGGCCAUCGCUCAACGGAUAAAAGGUACUCCGGGGAUAACAGGCUGAUACCGCCCAAGAGUUCAUAUCGACGGCGGUGUUUGGCACCUCGAUGUCGGCUCAUCACAUCCUGGGGCUGAAGUAGGUCCCAAGGGUAUGGCUGUUCGCCAUUUAAAGUGGUACGCGAGCUGGGUUUAGAACGUCGUGAGACAGUUCGGUCCCUAUCUGCCGUGGGCGUUGGAAGAUUGAGAGGGGCUGCUCCUAGUACGAGAGGACCGGAGUGGACGAAUCACUGGUGUUCGGGUUGUCAUGCCAAUGGCAUUGCCCGGUAGCUAAAUUCGGAAGAGAUAACCGCUGAAAGCAUCUAAGCGGGAAACUUGCCUCGAGAUGAGUCUUCCCUGGGGCUUUAAGCCCCCUGAAGGAACGUUAAAGACUAUGACGUUGAUAGGCUGGGUGUGUAAGUGCAGCGAUGCAUUGAGCUAACCAGUACUAAUGAUCCGUGAGGCUUAACCUU